UUCUUCACAGGUGAAGGUGAGGGAACGGUUGAACUUCCUGAAGUCGGGGAAGGCAUCGUCCAGUCUUCGGUCCCGUCCGUUGUGCUUGCUGAGGCAGAGGGGCCCGGCUGCGUGGGGACAGACGGAGCACAGGGAGGUGGUAUAGUAACCACCUACACGGGUAUGAGAGCUCUACCUGCUGGCGAGUAUCUUCCUCACAGUCUGCACCUGACCCCGUUGUAUGGCCCUGUAGAGCAUCGUGGUGGGCACCUCGUCUUCUGGAACACCAAUCACAGCCAGGUGAGCUAGAGUGUUGUGGGACUGUGGUUUGCGAUGAGUGCCAUUGCAACAGCUUGGUCGGAGACAUGCUUUUCGAAGUACACUUCAGGAACACAGCUAGGUACAGUUUAUUCACACGAUCAGAUGAAGUCGUGAUACAGUGCAAUCAUGCCUUUGUAAGUUAGCUCAGGGACUCGCAGCUUCUAGCAAGACACUUGGUGCAUAUUCGUGUAGAUGACAUAGAACAUAUUCAUGAAGCUAAUGAGUUUUAAAAGUGGUUUCGGGAUCCCGUCCACACACAAACGCACACACACACAUAUACACACACGAAUGAAUUAUGCGGGUCCCCUCAUCUUUUCGAGAUUUCAGAGACUUCUGCGCAGGUUCACCGUUGUUACGCAUUUCCGUUCCUUUCACGAAAUUGCUUAUACCAAAUACUGUAUAUCAAGAGAUAAGAUGUUCACACAUCAAAAUAAAACUAUACAAAUACAAACAAGUAAUACAAAAAUUUAAAACAUCGGCACGUCCCCCUUCUGCCUUUUUAGACCAAGUGCCUUGGGCUUGCUGUGCCCUGGAACUGCCCCUGGUGUGUUUUGAUAACCAUUUGACCGAAGCUGCCCAAGAUCCUGAACAACUUCUAAACUUCAAAUGGUUUAACAUGGAGAAAGGACCCCUGAAAAUAAAGCGUGAGGCCGACCACAAAGAGCAGGGCCAGUACCUUCUGUGGCGACGGCGAGUACAGGACUCCACGGAGACUCCUCCAGUUGCCCCGCGCACUUCAGGCGGAAGCUGUAGCACUUGCCUGGCCCGAGGCCCCCCACUUGGUGUGUGCUCCUGCCGCCA
Bacillus rossius redtenbacheri is the source of this 1101-nucleotide long non-coding RNA. RefSeq lists it as uncharacterized. Lineage: Eukaryota; Metazoa; Arthropoda; Insecta; Phasmatodea; Bacillidae. The transcript is spliced from 2 exons. The record is from RefSeq and is a predicted model, not a curated record.